RNAcentral lists this ribosomal RNA (240 nucleotides) under uncultured bacterium. Its description in RNAcentral is "partial 16S ribosomal RNA". It matches the Rfam family "Bacterial small subunit ribosomal RNA", at positions 15 to 244 of the family's 1533-position model. The record is from RNAcentral.
GAUCAUGGCUCAGGAUGAACGCUAGCUACAGGCUUAACACAUGCAAGUCGAGGGGAAACGGCGUUGAGUGCUUGCACUCUUCGGACGUCGACCGGCGCACGGGUGAGUAACGCGUAUCCAACCUUCCCAUAACUAAGGGAUAACCUACCGAAAGGCAGACUAAUACCUUAUGUAAUUCUUAGAUGACAUCAGAAGAGAAUGAAAGAUUUAUCGGUUAUGGAUGGGGAUGCGUCUGAUUAG